GCCCUCAUAGCUCAGAAGGUAGAGCGCGUUCUUGGUAAGAACGAGGUCAGCAGUUCGAAUCUGCUUGAGGGCU
This 73-nucleotide transfer RNA is filed under the name Acidobacteriota bacterium. RNAcentral's name for it is "Acidobacteria bacterium (marine metagenome) tRNA-Thr". It matches the Rfam family "tRNA". Rfam says of the family: Transfer RNA (tRNA) molecules are approximately 80 nucleotides in length. Their secondary structure includes four short double-helical elements and three loops (D, anti-codon, and T loops). Further hydrogen bonds mediate the characteristic L-shaped molecular structure. tRNAs have two regions of fundamental functional importance: the anti-codon, which is responsible for specific mRNA codon recognition, and the 3' end, to which the tRNAs corresponding amino acid is attached (by aminoacyl-tRNA synthetases). tRNAs cope with the degeneracy of the genetic code in two manners: having more than one tRNA (with a specific anti-codon) for a particular amino acid; and 'wobble' base-pairing, i.e. permitting non-standard base-pairing at the 3rd anti-codon position. Lineage: Bacteria; Pseudomonadati; Acidobacteriota. The record is from RNAcentral.